CGUCGCCGUAGUUGGGCGCCAGGAUCUGCCGCGCCAGCAGGCGGUGCGGCACGUCGCGCAGGCCGCCGCUCGGCGGGGCGGGCGGCGC
Molecule: transfer RNA, 88 nt
Filed under: Xanthomonas sp. SI
Lineage: Bacteria; Pseudomonadati; Pseudomonadota; Gammaproteobacteria; Lysobacterales; Lysobacteraceae
Description: tRNA-Ala
Source: RNAcentral